GCAAAAAAAAAAACUAGAUUUGAUUGAAAAGAAAUUAUAACAUUGCUUCUAAGUCCCAAAUUUAUCUUAGCCUUUAUUUGAUUAAUAUAAUUCAUAGGAAAUACGUUAAUUAGUUCAUUUGUUGACCAUAACAACUUUCAUGCGGUAUUGCAAUGGUUGAUAUUUGAUAUUAAUUAAAUUCGAUCAUAUGUUUGUUUCAUGAGAAAUCUUUAAAAAAACUUAACCUGUCAUAUUAUCCCUAAAUCAAGUCAAGCUAAGUCCAUCAAAU
Molecule: unclassified non-coding RNA, 268 nt
Filed under: Hevea brasiliensis (rubber tree)
Lineage: Eukaryota; Viridiplantae; Streptophyta; Magnoliopsida; Malpighiales; Euphorbiaceae
Source: RNAcentral